RNAcentral lists this ribosomal RNA (516 nucleotides) under Entemnotrochus adansonianus. RNAcentral describes it as "partial 16S ribosomal RNA". It matches the Rfam family "Bacterial large subunit ribosomal RNA", at positions 1817 to 2598 of the family's 2925-position model. The record is from RNAcentral. Lineage: Eukaryota; Metazoa; Mollusca; Gastropoda; Pleurotomariida; Pleurotomariidae.
GUCUCUUCGUUAUUGUUAUAUGGGGAGUCUGGCCUGCCCGGUGACUAAUUGGUUUAACGGCCGCGGUACUCUGACCGUGCAAAGGUAGCAUAAUCAUUUGCCUCUUAAUUGGGGGCUGGAAUGAAUGGCUCGACGAAAAUAUAUCUGUCUCUCUCAUAUUUUAUAGAAAUUAAUUUUUAGGUGAAAAAGCCUGAAUUUAACUGAAAGACAAGAAGACCCUGUUGAGCUUGAAUAUUAUUUAGUGGGGUAGUUCGUAAUUUAUUAUAGGUUUUAUCCUUAGAUUGUUUUUGGUUGGGGUGACCGAGGAACAGAAAAAAUUUCCUUGAUUAUGAUUAGGAAUUUCAUUUUUAGAUCCGUUAUUUAGCGAUUAAUGGAAAUAGUUACCACAGGGAUAACAGCGUGAUCUUUCUUGAGAGUUCUUAUCGAAAGAAGGGGUUGCGACCUCGAUGUUGGACUAGGAUUAUCUAGGAGGUGUAGAAGCUUCUUGGGUUGGUCUGUUCGACCAUUAAAAUCCUA